GAAUGUUCCCCAAUGGAUGAAAUUCCGUCGGAGAGACGCCGCCAGCGCGAGGAAGGCCCUUGGGCAGUAAACCGCUUUCGGAGGGGAUGAAAUCCUCGAGGGUUCUCCCUCGAGGUCGACCGACCCUCAAAAGAAGCACGGGAUAAGUACGUCCCUGCAGGCGCGGUAACUCGUACUGUGCGAACGUUUUUUGGAAUCACUGGGCCUAAAGGGUGCGUAGGCGGUGAUUUAAGUCAGAUGUGAAAUCCGGGAGAUCAACAGAGGCAUCCGCGGGAAUCAGAAUGUAUAGAGUACAUCAGGGGUGUGCGGAACCCGCAGUGGAGCGGUGAAAUGUGUUGAUAUUGGCAGGAACACCGGAGGCGAAAGCGGCACAGCGGGGAAUUAGCAACGCUGAGGCACGAAAGCCAGGGGAGCUAACGGCCAGGGACACCCCGGUAGUCCAUGCGGUAAACCAAGAGCACCGGGCGGGAGGGCAAAACCUUAAGACUGUGCGAAAGCCCGUGCAU
RNAcentral lists this ribosomal RNA (506 nucleotides) under uncultured bacterium. RNAcentral's name for it is "bacterial SSU rRNA". It matches the Rfam family "Bacterial small subunit ribosomal RNA", at positions 359 to 863 of the family's 1533-position model. The record is from RNAcentral.